Molecule: non-coding RNA, 6954 nt
Organism: Callithrix jacchus (white-tufted-ear marmoset)
Lineage: Eukaryota; Metazoa; Chordata; Mammalia; Primates; Cebidae
Source: RefSeq, a predicted model, not a curated record
AUAACUUAUUAAAAAUAUUUCCUCAUAAAAUUCAGAAGGUUAAUUUCUCUAAAAUGCUUACAAUAGAUGCUGACACACAGAAAGUGCUGAUUUUUAGCGACUGCCAUUGCUAUUGUUGUUAAUACCUAAACACCGCCCUACUCCCUGGCCAAGUAUUUAUAGCUCCCUGCAAAUCCCAAGGAACUCUGGGAACCUCCUCAGAGAUUUAGGUAGAAGUAUCUGUUUCCUUUUCAGGCCUUCUAUGGCACUACUUAUCUGACCUACAUUUAGCAAGUAGACUGAGACUUACUAAAUAUUUUCAUGGGAAAUAAAACCUGAAGAAAUGACUAGCAAUAGAAUAUAAUAAACAGUAACGAUAGAAAAAAGUACCACAGGCUCUAUAGAGUAUAUGCUCUCUGAGGGCAGGGACAGUGCUUCCUGUGUCUCUGCUUAAUUUUCUUAAGAAAAUUAAGCCAUUUUUUUUCUCUGAUUCAAUGGAGGAUGUGAUUAGAAGAUCAUUAAUAAUAGACCAAUCUGUUUACAUAGACAAUGUAUAAUCAGAUAGUAGAGUGUCUUGACUGGUAGUAUAUGAACGUGAAGAAAUAAGGAGCCACCUUGGUUUUGGACAGAGGGUUGUCUAGCCCAUCUGGACAGUACCUGGAUGUCAUGACUGUGUUGGUUUGGUGGGAUUAGUUUGGCAGCAGGCUGCCAAAUGGAAUGAAACAAAGAGGGUGACCUGAGAGGAGAUCAUUGGGUGGGAGGGUAUGAGUACCUGAGCUUGGACUCCAGGAAUGAACAGGGAAGAAAUCUUAACUCCAAGAGCAGAUGGUAAAGAACAAAUAACUAGGAUUUGGGAGAUCACAGAGGAUGCUGAAGAGGCAAGGGUAGAGAAGGUGACUGCUGGAUCUCUUCCUUGGUUAACUUUGGAGAAUUCAAAUUGGGAAAAGCUUUUCUUGAAGGACAAAAGAUGUGUGCAUUUACUAGACCUUGAGCUCCAAGAUGGCAGAGACCAUGCCUGUCUUGAUCAUCACUGGAACCCCAGUGUCUGCGACCAUCCUUGACACCCUCUUACAGUGAGAGGCUAAAAGAGCAUCUGAAAUUAAUUAGUGGCCACUUACCUUGAUAUCUACACAGUCCAAUAAGAUACAUUGUAGACAAUUAUCUCCCACCUGUUUAACGAUUCUCCAGUUCUUGUUAGCUGGCAUAAUCAAUUUUGCUAAAAAGCCACACGUCUCACAUCUUGGGAAGGAUUUCCCAAAUAGGCAACUUGCUUAAUUCCAGGAUGAGUGACAGAAUCUGCAGACCCUGAGGCCACCUCACUCAUAUCUGCCUUAAUGUAACUGGUAAAACAUACUUGACAGUACAUCACCUCCACAGAAAGGUGCCCCAGAAAGCAACUGCUUGCUCCCACCCUGCUGAGAAGUAGCAAUCUCCAUGUGGCUUAAGGGCUCUAGCUGCAGCCAUGAACAGUGUUAUAAAAAUAUCACCACCAUUUGCCAGCAUGAGAUGCCAAACUGCCAAUAAGAGACAGGUCGAUUCAAUGAAGCAGAAACGUUUCACUUGUUUUUAAGAUCACUCGCGAGAACAUCAUUGCUAUGUCUGCCUUUAAAUAAGAAAUUGCAUUUAAAAAAACAGAAAGAAAGAAAAACCAUCUCCUCUCGUCUCCCUACAAAGGGACAAGGUUUUUCCCACUCGGGUGAACAUUGCCUGUGCUGCUUGCCGAAGAAAGGGAGCAGUCUUGGCAAGCAUCUUAUUAGUCUAAAAAUAAAUUAUUCAGAAUGCAGGUUCAGAUACAGAUCGCAGGGAGAGAUAAUAGAAUUGGUUUUCCAAGCCUGAUCAUGCUAUGAAGACGUGGUGUGUGCUUUUCAGGAAUCCACUUAAGUGGAAUCAGCUUUGACUAAUACAAACUAGAAAUAAUAUUGCUGCCAUCCAGCUUGUGUCUGUGGUACCGCAUCCUCAGAAUGUCUUCAAGUAUCCAUGGCCUCUUUAGUGUCCCUCCAGGGCGGCAUCUCCGUGGGCACGCCGAGCUUCCCCUGGUUACCUGAGCUGCUCCUGCGUCUCCCGCCCGGGCUUCGCCGUGGUGCCCGGAUCCCGGAAUCGUGCGUCUCCGUCCUGCGGAAGAAGGCCCUGCUGGCGGAGCUCUGGCCGGGGUCUGCUCCCUCACAGCUGGGCGAGGGGACCUGCAGAACCGGGUGAAGCUGCAGAAGACCUGGCGAGGGACGACCAGAGAGAACGCCAAGGAUGGGGAAGGGGAAGUUAGGAAUUCCAUCCAUCCAGUGCCCACCGGUGCUCCGCAGGGCAAGGGCAGCCGUGGCCCCUGCCGCAUGCGCCCAGCUCGGGCUGCUCCCAGGGAUUCAGUCUGGGGGGACAACCCGUGGCGAGAUGUGGUGGCAUUUUACCUCAGAGCGCAGCUGAAGAUGGAUAAACAAGGCAUCUGAUGUAUCUGCCUGGGAAGGCAGAGCUGGAGAAAGGCGGAGUGAGGGAGCGCGUGCAAGGCAAGAGGAGAUGCCGAAUGCCGGGGCGAUUGUCUGCAGCUCGCUGUGCAUUCUCAUUCUAGGAGGAUGGCAUAAUUUAUAACCCGGCACAUGGAUGGAGGAACUGUAAAUCCUAGUCUGGACGUCCCCGGCGCUGUCAACGAAGGAACUGAUGGGCUAGGUGACUGUACCAGUGUCCCCAGAGAAAAUCGCAGCCUCGCAGCAUGGAUUUAAAUGCAUGUGCAUGCGUGUAGAGACAUGGAGAGAGGUUUCUGACCAUUUUACACAGGAAGUCUGUCACUUUGCUGGAUCGGGCUUGAUUGCAGCUUGUGUUUUCAGCUCCAGCUCAACACCCAUUUCCUGACUAGUGAGACAGCAUGGCCAAAGCAGCUGCAUGCAGAAUUUUCUUUUUACUGUGAAAGCAAGCCCUCUCUGUGUUAACUCCUUCCAGUUCUGAGUGCUCUGUGCUUUGCUAGGACCGAUGGUGGGGUUUUGUUUUCUUCUCCUAUAAAUCCCUGUAAACACAGCUGUAUUCAGUAAUGGCAAAAAAUUCUAUCCUGUAAAUAGAAAUCCGAUCAAUUUAAUCAAAAUAAAUGUAUCCCAGAUGACUUUGAGACCAGCUGGCUACCACAAGCUUUAGAUGCUAAAUACUCAGUGGAGAUAAAUACUGUGUUAUAUUUACAUGUUUCAGAAUGCUGGGAUCAGCCUGUAAUUUGCAAAAAGAAACUCUUUUCUAAAGAGGAGAGGUGGUCCUGCCAGCCCACAGCUAGGCGGUUAGAUACAGGUGUAAAUGUUGUUCAUGUGAUUGGCAGAUCUGCCGUGUUGCAUUUCGAAAGGCAUGUGCCAUAAGGCGGAGUAUGUCCAUUGUCAAUAUGGAGAAUGCUUGUUUCUAACUUGCUGUUUUGGAGAGCCCAGUGCCCUCUGAGUAGAUUCUGGUGAGGUUGAGGGUAGGCACUGGAGGCUUGUUGUACUUUCAGAUGUGAGGACUGGGGUUCUCCAACCCCAGCUCAGUGGAGUCAGCCAACCCUGGGGGUGAGGAGCUUUCCCAGUUGUCAUGGGGAGCUCUUCUGGGACGCCUGUCUGGCCCUUCCACUGUUUGUUACUAAUUCUACAAAGGCAGCUCUGUGUGCUGGAUUAUGUUUGGCCAGCUGUUGAUGCAUUCCUGCGGGUGGGGCUGGGUGAGGAUCUUAUUACUGUACUUUCAAACUGUAGAUGGGUGUGCAGGGAUAGCUCGGAAGGAAAGGAAAAGCGUAAGUUACGGAAUCUGAUCGAGCAUACCCCCUUCUCCAGAUAGCCCUAGAGUGAAUCCAGAAAGGGUUUAAAGUCAAAAGAGUGAGUGAUUAGGGGUGGGUGGCAUGAGGGGAAGAGAAUGAAACGGAGAGCGCGCGCAAGAGAAAAACAGACUUGGAACUUCAAAGCUGCAUAGACAAGCAGAAUGUCAGCAGCUUGUAAUUAGCGGUUCAUGGUUGCGUCAGUGACUGUAUCUAUCCAAGAAUAACUAUGUGAUGUGUGCCACAAAGUGAAGAAGAUAGUCAUAACUAAGUUAUCAAACCCAGUUCAAACAAGGGCAAAUGGAUUAGGAAGUUUUCUAUGUUUGUAAAUCAAAUGCUGAUUACACAGAGAAGUCUUGCUGAAUUCUGUAUAAUUGAAGGCUAAAUUAUCAAUUUGUCAGGGGGGAUAUGUUCAUUAAAUGAAACUGUGAACCCUUAAACAUGCAAAUCAAUCAUGCGAGAAUAUAUCAGUGCAAGCUUUAUCAGUACGAGAUAUUUUACUAAACGGCCGAAAGAGCCACUGCCAGUCUCCUAUCUCUGUAUCCGUACAUCAUUUGUGUGUGUGCAUUUCAAUAGAGAGAAGUCAAAAGUUACACUCAAGUAAAUAUAAAUUAAAUUCUGUCAUUCCCAUUUUAGAAUUUAAAAAUCAACUGAGGAGUUUCGAUUUUUUUUUUUUUUUUUUUUUUAAUCUCCUGAGUUUAAACCUUGAAGGAGCUUUUGCUGUUCUGAAGCCAAACAGCAGCUAGUCAGUAAUCGCUAUGGGAAGUCAGGGUACCAUGGUUGUUGAGAUUUGAAGGCCACGCUCACUUCCCUCCCUGUCUCCUGUGCUUCGAGAUUUUGGUGCUACUGCAGCCUCCACAAAGAGAUGGUGGGAGGAGCUGAUUGGUCCACAGGCUUAGAAUGUUUACUCUUGUUUGUUUUCAGGCUCCUCACGGCAUUCAUUCUGUAUUUCUAUUUGUGUUCAUGCCGCACAAUUACUCCUGACCUGCUUUGUUUCUCUGCCCAAGGAGAAGUCAGUUUUAGUUCAGCUCUUUAGUUUUUGGGUAAUAUGUGCAUACGUAUUGCAUUACCCACGUAUGCGUUUUUCUUUUUUUUAAAAUGUGGAUUAGGGAAAAUUGUAGGCAUGGAGAGCUGUGUAUAUUAAAUCAAUAGCUUUUUGAAUCACACGUAAUAUAAUUUAAAUAUACUCACUUUGAGGUUGCCAAAACUGACAUUGUCUGAGCCCGUUUAAUUUACAUCUUCACUUUAGUCAAGAAGCGGAACCUGCCAGAUCAGAAUAGUGUAUUCUGUGCACCCAACAGGGUGGAAGACAUUAUUUUGUUUGUGUUAGUUCGAACAGCUGGUCAUUAAUGCAGUCCCCAUUUCUAGAGCGAAGUGCUGCUGGACAUGAAUGCCUGCCUGAUUAAUGCUGCCCCUCCGAGGGUCCUUCACCCAGCAGUCAUGCUCGCAGCAGAAUAAUGUAGCAUGAUGUGAUUGCACUCUAACAGGAUAGUAUGUCAUUGUGUCACCAAGCAAUUGAGGUUAUUAUGGGGCAGGGCAGACAGACGGGACAGUGGGGUUACUAGACUGUAGCAUUUUUAGAAAUACAGGCCUGACCUACUUAGAGUUAUUCUCUCUGGCUGGCAGCUGCAUGGUACAUAAAGUCUCCUGAUUGGCUGAGGCUGUUGCUAGGGGGGAAUUAGCAUGAAUUUUUCCACACACAGACUCAGUGGCUGAAUGAUAAAAGCUGACUGGAAUUAAAGAGAUUUGGUUUAGUAUUAUACAGAUUUAUCUGCCUCCUUUUCUUUCUCAAGUGCAGAGAAAGAGUGCAAAACACAGAUUUUGUUUCCAUUUGUUCUUUGACCUUCUUGUUCUCUCUCCCUCCUCUCAAGAUGCCCGAGGGGAGGAGAGCAGGACAGUUAUGAAAUUCUGGUUCAUCUCUUACUGUUGGGGUCAUGGAAACGAUGUUGCAAAUUACAAGAUAUUUAAGCUUAAAGACUGCUGGGAAUGACUACCAGAAGGUUAGAUUAUUUUUCCUCUUCUGUGCACUAAGCUGUAUUGAAGUUGGGUAUGCAUCUUUCAUGCACUGUAUGUUUAUACUCUGUUUCCCUUUUGGGCUUGAACAAAACAUUUAUAUAAAUUCCUUUCUAUCCAAACAGAUUGAAGCUUGCAGUCUCUGGCUUGUUUAAAAUAAGGUGGUCAGGAUUCCAGAUUUAGACAGGAAAAAAAAAUAUGUAUAUAUAUCACUUUUGUUAUUACAAAAUAUUAUUGGCUGUCUUUAAAAAGCCAGCCUGAUGUGGAUGCUUGUGGAUGAAACCUAACUACUCCUACUCUACCCUGUUGGCUUCACAAUGUAUAGGAAGACACAGGUUUUUCUCCAGAAGAAAAUCUGCCUGCAGAAUGUAUCUGGAGGUUGUUUUCCUUGUUGCUGACAUAUGCACGGCCAUGUAGACAGCUCACAUAAUCAAUUUUAUAAGAUGACCUAUUUUUUCCCUUCUCGUGGGUCUCCAAGUGUCUGUGCCUUUUAGUAGAUAUUUUCUAGAGGGGGAGUUUUGAUAGAUCUUUUUAAAGUAAUCUGAAAAGCCAUCAGGAGCAAAAUUAAAGCAAUACAUAUUCAAGAAUCCUGUUUCUUAUUCUUAAUUAUAUGCUAUCUAUGCUUAAACUUCAGUUUCUUUCUGAUACCUUUUAGUGCUGAAAGUAGUGAUUAUCCUGCCUUUUAGAUUUGAAAUUAAUUUUUGUGAGAACAUACUGGGGUAUCACAAGUAAACAAGAUGCUGGAAAAGAAUAAUAGAGAUUCUUAUAAACUUGUCACAUUAGAUUUUUUUUUUUUUUUUUUUUUGGCCACAUGAAAAAGGCAAGAGAAAAUUUAGGUGUAGAUUUUUCUUUUCAUUUAGAUUUUUUAAAACAUUCAGAACUAUAUAGAUACAUAAUGCUUUUAAACAGUGAUUUCUACUUAUACCAGAGACUACAGUCAAAACAAAACAAAUUCUCUAAUGGUGUCAGAGCCAAGAAAUCUAUCAUAUAUAUUUAAAAUCCAGCAGUGUUUACUUUUCAGCAUAUAAAUAAAGCUUAUCAAGCUAAAAAAAAAUAGCGUAUAUUUUCUGAUGUUAUAAUUGGUAGAUACACCUCACAACCUUUAAGAGUCCCCACACAAACGUUUAUUGUAAAGGUUUCCAACUAUACUAGCAAUCUUUCUUAAUUGAAUAAAAUGUCACUUGAUAUUUGUUGAAUAAAAGAUUACCUUAUCCUAA